Pristionchus pacificus is the source of this 61-nucleotide non-coding RNA. NCBI's taxonomy places the organism in Eukaryota, Metazoa, Nematoda, Chromadorea, Rhabditida, Neodiplogasteridae. The record is from Rfam.
UCUUCAUUUUACGUGCUCUCUCACCGGUCAGAGCAGCGAGAGAGUGUGCGAAAUGAAGAGA